UGAAUUCGACUGUAUUCGACUGUAUUCACGGCGUGAAACAGGGGAUUACAGCUAGACAAAUUAUUGUAUUCGACUGUAUUCAGCUGUUUUUAAACGGAAAGUGAAUCAAUUAAUAUAAUAGACUCCU
This is a microRNA precursor of Nicotiana attenuata, 127 nucleotides long. It matches the Rfam family "MIR6152 microRNA precursor family". The record is from Rfam. NCBI's taxonomy places the organism in Eukaryota, Viridiplantae, Streptophyta, Magnoliopsida, Solanales, Solanaceae.